UAGCAUACGCUUGUCUCAAAGAUUAAGCCAUGCAUGUCUAAGUAUAAACAAAUCUAUACGUGAAACUGCGAAUGGCUCAUUAUAUCAGUUAUAGUUUAUUUGAUGGUUCUUGCUACUUGGAUAACCGUAGUAAUUCUAGAGCUAAUACAUGCGUCAAACCCCGACUUCUGGGAGGGGUGUAUUUAUUAGAUGGAAACCAAUGCGGGGCAACCCGGUAUAUGGUGAUUCAUAAUAACUUUCGGAUCGAUCUUCGGAUCGAUGCAUCAUUCAAGUUU
This 275-nucleotide ribosomal RNA is filed under the name uncultured eukaryote. Its description in RNAcentral is "partial 18S ribosomal RNA". It matches the Rfam family "Eukaryotic small subunit ribosomal RNA", at positions 25 to 306 of the family's 1831-position model. The record is from RNAcentral.